Molecule: unclassified non-coding RNA, 357 nt
Filed under: Hevea brasiliensis (rubber tree)
Lineage: Eukaryota; Viridiplantae; Streptophyta; Magnoliopsida; Malpighiales; Euphorbiaceae
Source: RNAcentral
AUUCUAUCAAUUCCAAGCUGAUCGUGCUAUUCCUGAUCUUGAGAAACAAGUGAAAGUCCUUGAAGAAGAGAGGGACUCGAUGAUAAUUGAAGAAGAAGAUAAUCUAAAGAAUUAAGAAUUAUUAUGAUCUGAUUCAACAAUACAAAAGUUUGAAGAAGGAUGUUUGUGAUAUUGUGUUUUCUCCAAAGUACUGCCUACCCUUUCUGCAGGCCGGUAGAAUUGUAUGCCUCCAAUGCACUGGGAUUGAUGAAAGCUCUCCAUCUUUCUCCAUUGAAGACAAAGUUACAUGGGGUGUGAUAAUCAAUUUUGACAGAGUCAAAAACUUUUCUGAAGAUGAUGCAAGUAGAAAGCCCGAAG